ACCUGCGGAAGGAUCAUUACAGAGUUCAUGCCCGAAAGGGUAGACCUCCCACCCUUGUGUAUUAUUACUUUGUUGCUUUGGCGAGCUGCCUUCGGGCCUUGUAUGCUCGCCAGAGAAUACCAAAACUCUUUUUAUUAAUGUCGUCUGAGUACUAUAUAAUAGUUAAAACUUUCAACAACGGAUCUCUUGGUUCUGGCAUCGAUGAAGAACGCAGCGAAAUGCGAUAAGUAAUGUGAAUUGCAGAAUUCAGUGAAUCAUCGAAUCUUUGAACGCACAUUGCGCCCCUUGGUAUUCCGGGGGGCAUGCCUGUUCGAGCGUCAUUUCAACCCUCAAGCUUAGCUUGGUAUUGAGUCUAUGUCAGUAAUGGCAGGCUCUAAAAUCAGUGGCGGCGCCGCUGGGUCCUGAACGUAGUAAUAUCUCUCGUUACAGGUUCUCGGUGUGCUUCUGCCAAAACCCAAAUUUUUCUAUGGUUGACCUCGGAUCAGGUAGGGAUACCCGCUGAACUUAAGCAUAUCA
RNAcentral lists this ribosomal RNA (516 nucleotides) under Botrytis cinerea. RNAcentral's name for it is "eukaryotic LSU rRNA". The stretch from base 167 to 320 matches the Rfam family "5.8S ribosomal RNA". Lineage: Eukaryota; Fungi; Ascomycota; Leotiomycetes; Helotiales; Sclerotiniaceae. The record is from RNAcentral.